This 767-nucleotide long non-coding RNA is filed under the name Sus scrofa (pig). RNAcentral describes it as "lncRNA (ENSSSCG00055020201.1)". Lineage: Eukaryota; Metazoa; Chordata; Mammalia; Artiodactyla; Suidae. The record is from RNAcentral.
CCCCCCAAUCCCCCCAGUCCCCCCCAGUCCCUCCCAGGGCGCUGCGCCUCCCCCUCUCGUCCCCGCCCGCGACCCUGGGCGAGUCACGUCUGUGCCUCGGUUGCCCUACGGGUAAAGCGGGAUUAGUAAGCGUACCUACUUCAUCUGCCCUCGUGAGGUUGCGGCGAGGAUGGAGUUAACUUGCCUAAAGGGCUUGAUGAAUCCCUGGCGAGUGGGCCGUGUUCGCUAAAGGUUGCCUUUUCCUAGCUUGUGGUACCGAGGGUACAGCGGUCCGCUGUCCGCCCCGGGUAGAGUGUAGGGGGGGGGAUCAAAGGACCCAGACCAUGGUCUCUAGACCUGCCGCCUACCAUGUGGUCUUGACCUCGCUGAGGCAGCUUUCCUCACCUGCUCCACACGCUUGCAGGAGGGGCGCGGAGCCAGAGGCGCUGAACGCUCUAGAAGGAACAGGCAGGGGCACCGGUGCUGCAAGAAGCCAGUGUGUUUUCACGGCGGACGGACACCAGCACACAUCCACGCCUCCUGCACCGCACUGUGUGGCCCAUCCCCGAUGAUGGCCCAGCUCAAGACUAUGGCUCAAGCCAUUUGUCCGGGGCGUGUUCCAGAAGGAGCAGAGCCCCCGAUGUCAAGCAGGACAGUGGAGCGCUUGCAGACAUUCAGGAAAGACCAGGAACAACCAGGAAUGACCAGACCUUCCAUCCUCUGUGGACACCCUCCCAGGUGGUGAUUCAAGGAAUAAAGGAACUGCAAACAGUGGUAGAGAUUCGAAU